GCGCGAAAACUUUACAAUGCUGGCAACAGCGAUAAGGGAACCUCGAGUGCCAGGUUACAAAUCUGGCUGUCGAGAUGCCUAAAAAGCAUUUCAUAGCAAGGGCCGGGCAAGACCGGUGCCAGCCGCCGCGGUAACACCGGCGGCUCGAGUGGUAACCGUUAUUAUUGGGUCUACAGGGUCUGUAGCCGGCCGGAUAAGUCUCUUGAGAAAUAUGGCAGCUUAACUGUCAGGCUUUCAGGAUAUACUGUCUGGCUCGAGGCCGGGAGAGGUGAGAGGUACUUCAGUGGUAGGGGGGAAAUGUUGUGAUCCUUGAAGGACCACCAGUGGCGAAGGCGUCUCACCAGAACGGACCUGACGGCAAGGGACGAAAGCUAGGGGCACGAACC
Molecule: ribosomal RNA, 386 nt
Filed under: uncultured prokaryote
Description: bacterial SSU rRNA
Rfam family: Archaeal small subunit ribosomal RNA
Source: RNAcentral